RNAcentral lists this ribosomal RNA (492 nucleotides) under uncultured bacterium. RNAcentral describes it as "partial 16S ribosomal RNA". It matches the Rfam family "Bacterial small subunit ribosomal RNA", at positions 29 to 507 of the family's 1533-position model. The record is from RNAcentral.
AGUGAACGCUGGCGGUAGGCCUAACACAUGCAAGUCGAACGGCAGCACAGUAAGAGCUUGCUCUUACGGGUGGCGAGUGGCGGACGGGUGAGGAAUACAUCGGAAUCUACUUUUUCGUGGGGGAUAACGUAGGGAAACUUACGCUAAUACCGCAUACGACCUCCGGGUGAAAGCAUGGGAUCUUCGGACCUUGCGCGAUUGAAUGAGCCGAUGUCGGAGUAGCUAGUUGGCGGGGUAAAGGCCCACCAAGGCGACGAUCCGUAGCUGGUCUGAGAGGAUGAUCAGCCACACUGGAACUGAGACACGGUCCAGACUCCUACGGGAGGCAGCAGUGGGGAAUAUUGGACAAUGGGCGCAAGCCUGAUCCAGCCAUACCGCGUGGGUGAAGAAGGCCUUCGGGUUGUAAAGCCCUUUUGUUGGGAAAGAAAAGCAGCAGGUGAAUACCCCGCUGUUCUGACGGUACCCAAAGAAUAAGCACCGGCUAACUUCGUG